GGAGGAGUGGCAGAGUGGUCGAAUGCACUGGUCUUGAAAACCAGAGCCUCGGAAACGGGGCCGUGAGUUCGAAUCUCACCUCCUCCG
RNAcentral lists this transfer RNA (87 nucleotides) under bacterium. Its description in RNAcentral is "tRNA-Ser". It matches the Rfam family "tRNA". From Rfam's summary of the family: Transfer RNA (tRNA) molecules are approximately 80 nucleotides in length. Their secondary structure includes four short double-helical elements and three loops (D, anti-codon, and T loops). Further hydrogen bonds mediate the characteristic L-shaped molecular structure. tRNAs have two regions of fundamental functional importance: the anti-codon, which is responsible for specific mRNA codon recognition, and the 3' end, to which the tRNAs corresponding amino acid is attached (by aminoacyl-tRNA synthetases). tRNAs cope with the degeneracy of the genetic code in two manners: having more than one tRNA (with a specific anti-codon) for a particular amino acid; and 'wobble' base-pairing, i.e. permitting non-standard base-pairing at the 3rd anti-codon position. The record is from RNAcentral.